RNAcentral lists this transfer RNA (72 nucleotides) under Camelus bactrianus (Bactrian camel). It matches the Rfam family "tRNA". Rfam says of the family: Transfer RNA (tRNA) molecules are approximately 80 nucleotides in length. Their secondary structure includes four short double-helical elements and three loops (D, anti-codon, and T loops). Further hydrogen bonds mediate the characteristic L-shaped molecular structure. tRNAs have two regions of fundamental functional importance: the anti-codon, which is responsible for specific mRNA codon recognition, and the 3' end, to which the tRNAs corresponding amino acid is attached (by aminoacyl-tRNA synthetases). tRNAs cope with the degeneracy of the genetic code in two manners: having more than one tRNA (with a specific anti-codon) for a particular amino acid; and 'wobble' base-pairing, i.e. permitting non-standard base-pairing at the 3rd anti-codon position. RNAcentral also lists the same sequence under 2 other names. The record is from Rfam by way of RNAcentral. Lineage: Eukaryota; Metazoa; Chordata; Mammalia; Artiodactyla; Camelidae.
GUGGGUAUAGCUCAGUGGUAAAGCAUGUGCUUAGCAUGCAUGAGGCCCUGGGUUUAAUCCCCAGUGCCUCUU